Molecule: long non-coding RNA, 324 nt
Organism: Priapulus caudatus
Lineage: Eukaryota; Metazoa; Priapulida; Priapulimorpha; Priapulimorphida; Priapulidae
Exons: 2
Source: RefSeq, a predicted model, not a curated record
AAUUAGCGCGUCAUUGUCGGUGACUGCUGCGCGCUGGCGCUAAACUGAAUUCAUUGUAAGAGUUCACAUAACGGUCCUCAGGUCGCACGUUACGUUUUCCGGGCAGUUGCAUUUUCUGUUGUUUACCGUUUCCGUGUUGAUCUGCAGUAUUCUUCUGUUGUUUCCCUCUAUUAUAUUCGUUGUUAUAUUCGUUGUUCUCCUUAGUUAUAGCCGUUGUCACAAGCAUUAAACGACAACGGCUAUAACUACAAGCUCCGCUACGAAAAACCACAAGCAGCAACCGGAAGAAGAAACAGAGCGCGCAAUAUCAUUUGGUACAACCCA